AUCCUUGAGGUAUACCUGUUCGAGCGCCGUUUGUGUCUUAAGGCCUUGCCUUGCGUUGAAGGUUUCCCCGGUAGGACCUUCGAAACACAUCGCGCCCGUUAUGGCAUCGAAACGCAGAGAAAUGCGGCGAGAAGUCAUGAUGGGCGGCCAAUCUCCGAAAGCAUGGCCUCGGAUCAGGUAGGGAUACCCGCUGAACUUAA
Molecule: unclassified non-coding RNA, 200 nt
Filed under: soil metagenome
Description: partial contains internal transcribed spacer 2 and large subunit ribosomal RNA
Source: RNAcentral